This 738-nucleotide long non-coding RNA is filed under the name Nicotiana benthamiana. Its description in RNAcentral is "long non-coding RNA (NBEN_LNC020372)". The record is from RNAcentral. Lineage: Eukaryota; Viridiplantae; Streptophyta; Magnoliopsida; Solanales; Solanaceae.
UCGUUAGAGACUUCAAAAACUAAUUAAUUAGGCUUUUCGUAGAGACAAUUCAUAAGAAAAAAAUCGUAGUCUUUUAGGUUUGCUUUUAAAAUAAAUGAGGUACGCCAAGCCCAAACAAAACCAUAUAUUGUGUGGCCCUCUUAAUCAUAUUUAAAAUAUUUUAGACCUUGUGGCGAGCCAUUUAGCCAAUUUCACGGCCUUCCGCAAAGUUAAUGAUAUGCUAGUUGCUUUAGUCCUGGCAUUUAAUAAUAUUACUUUCUUAAACUUGGGUGCACAUUUAUGUCACCCAAAUCUAAAUCUCAACAAAGUUGAAAUGUGUCAGAAACCAUGGGUGCAUUUAUGUGAGGUGAUUCGAGACAUGUUUUCAUGAUGUUGCAAUUCUCUUUAAAAAUAAUACUAAAAGCGGUUUAAAAGUUAAAAAACACAUAAGUCAAAACAUGUUUUAAAAUUAGAUAUUUAGCCAAGUAUGAUAAUUGAGCGACCGUGCCAGAACUAGGGAACCCGGGAAUGCCAAACACUUUUUCCUUGGUUAAUAGAAUUCCUUACUCGGACUUCUUAUUCGUGGACUGUUUAACAGAGUCAAUAAUUUCCUUGAUUCGGGAUUCAACCAGUUACUUGGGACAUCAAUAUUCUCCGAAGUAUUGACUCUAAAUUAUUAAUAAAUAAAUCCCGUUUUGAUUGUCCUUUAAUUGAAAAACUCUUUUACGCCCUUGCGGGUAUAGGUAAAAAGGAGGUCUG